This is a long non-coding RNA of Pseudophryne corroboree (corroboree frog), 476 nucleotides long. RefSeq lists it as uncharacterized. The transcript has 4 exons. The record is from RefSeq and is a predicted model, not a curated record. Lineage: Eukaryota; Metazoa; Chordata; Amphibia; Anura; Myobatrachidae.
AUUGUACAGUGCGCAAUUGCGCGUGCGCGCGACCGCUACCUCGGAGGUACGUGCGUGCGCGUGCGUGGACUCGGUGAGCGGGCUAAACAGAGGGGAGGAUGGCGCACAUCGGGAUCCUGCAGCAGGAGAGAAGAACCCCUUCGGAGCACAGCAGACCACACUGAAAAGGGUGCAUCCCCGGUGCGGUGCUCUGCAUCCCGGGUGGCGCCGAAGAUGUGGAGUGUCGGAGGUGGCAGAAGCGCCGCAGCUUGGGGAACUGACUGAUGAUAUUGUUCGGGAUAUUUUGUUAAUAGUUGCAUGGCAUUAUACACGGAAGCAACAGAAUGAAAUGUUGUUAAUGGUGUAGGGGAGCACGGAAUAGACGCCAGCGCAGAUUGCCUAGGCAAGAGCUUGGCCGCUGCAUAUGACGUCAGCUGCGACUGAAAGCCGUAAGGUUCAACACGCGGUGAACUGGGAAAUGAAAUUGUAUAUAAGGU